This is a long non-coding RNA of Magnolia sinica, 631 nucleotides long. RefSeq lists it as uncharacterized. Lineage: Eukaryota; Viridiplantae; Streptophyta; Magnoliopsida; Magnoliales; Magnoliaceae. The record is from RefSeq and is a predicted model, not a curated record. The transcript has 3 exons.
UUUUUUUUUUUUUUAACAUGCCUCAGCCCUCUUGCUUUGCUUUGUGACAUAGGUAGUUGUUCAACAUUUGUGACGGACAUGUUUUCUCGACAAUCCAUGGCUACUCUUUGGAUGUGUUUGUGGUGGACAUAUGGUGUUGAGUGAUAGUCAGAACUGACUCUAGUUGGAUGAAGGCAUGACUUGACUAAGAAAUUUAAACUCAAUGGCUGAACCAUCCACUUUUGAAGGAAAUUCAAAUGUUGAAAGGAUAAGUGCUUUGGCAUGGCUUUAUCUUUGACCAGACUACCAAAGAGCAUGAAGACAAUUAGAGUGGAUCUCACGCACACAUACAGGAGGGCCCCGUAAAAAAUCAAGGGUGGGCAUAAAGUGUUUUUAACAAGUCCAACCAGUGAGUUAUGGUCCACACAUUGGAUUACUUUCAACAUAUUAAUCUAAUGCAACAUCCCACCCUUCCAAAUAGGUUCGCCCCACAACAAGGAUAACCUAUUGAAAAAUCUGCCCCAUCUAAUCAUGGAGUUGGCCAGACCAUCAAAAACAACUUUUACUACUGAUAAAUAGCAAGAUACAAGUGAGGUCCAAUAAAUUUGUAAAUGCCACUGAUUUUCGCAUGAAGAAUCAUAUGGUGAUUACA